Apis florea (little honeybee) is the source of this 1387-nucleotide long non-coding RNA. RefSeq lists it as uncharacterized. The record is from RefSeq and is a predicted model, not a curated record. NCBI's taxonomy places the organism in Eukaryota, Metazoa, Arthropoda, Insecta, Hymenoptera, Apidae.
AUCUCGACCAUAAGCCUAGUAUAACGCACACGCGUGUAGGACGCGUAUAAGGAGUCAUUACUCUGGGGAUUUCUGGUGUGCGUAGGUGGCGAUUUAAUAAUCUAGUAAUUACCCAUCCCUGACCGUCUAAAACCCUAAUCACGAUGUCUUACGAUCAAUUCGAUUUUUCAACGAGAAUCCAAGUUGAACCGCGGCCAAGGAAGCCGCCAAUAAUCUUAAUAACAGUAAUAAUAAUACAUGAAUUAUGCAUCGUCACAUCGAUGUAACGCGCAUAAAUGGCGAGAGUGUUUCGCGAUCUCGCCGCCUGGAUCGUUGUUCGUUGUCUCGUUGUUGCAUCAGGAGAGUAACGAUUAGUCGCGAUUAACCGACGCUAAAUUAGCGGACUUUACCGUGGCGGUUUCACAAUAGGUUUCUCAGUCUCUUCGGGAACACGAUCGUGAAAAUAGGUUGUGUUACCAUCACUGUGUUUAACGCCUGCUUUACCAAGGUUUUGUUCAUCGAAUCGUCCGCGUUAAGAUAUAACAAUAAGAAUGGAAUGGAUUACGUGUUUACAGUAAAGAUGUCGAUAUAUAUAAAUAGAAUGUUGACUUUUAUGUGUAUUCGUGAUGGAAUAAUUGUGUAAAUGAAAGAGUUUUAGUAUUUUAGUGCACAAAUUUCAAUUGUAUACAAGAUGUUUCAUGUUAGGAAGAAACGUGAUCUAUCAGCCUUUUUGAGGUUAUGCAACGAAAAGAAAGUUAUUAACCUCAAAUUUUUGAGAAUACCUGGCCGUUAAGUCCGUUCAAGGAGCGAGUCCUGCUGUCUCGAGCCGAGCGUGCAUCUUUCGGCCGAUCGUUAACGAGAGCUUCCAACGAUGCAAUUAAGGCGAAUCGGCAGGUGGAUCGAGAAUAGGAUCGUUCGGUUGACCCUUGCACCCUGACUCCUUUUGACCCGCGUUUCGGCGACGAGUGUGCAAGUUACAUGCCUUCAUAAAAUCCCGUUUACGACGGGCUAGAUUUCCGGGAUGUUGAUAAUGAGGCGGCUGCACGCAUCACCAGUCCUGAAUACUGUGUAUCCCUCGCGAGUUCAUCCACACCGCGAAAAUGUUCGUAAAUUACGAUCGUUAAGAAGCGCCGUUUCCCUUUCUCGCGUUCCCUCUUUUUUACUUUUAUUCCUUUUUUUUUUAACGCGCGUAGAGGAUCGAACGAAAAAGUGGAAAAAGCCACGUUUCACGUUCGACGCCGACUUGGUUUCGAUGCUCGUUUCGCGGUUUCCUCGUCUUUUCAUGAUUAACUCGAGUCCAACUUUUUUUACUACAAUAGGAAUAUUAUUUUAUCGGUUUAUAAUUUAGUGUUUGUCGCGAAAUCUUGUCGAAGUAAUGUUAAAAAAAAAAGAAAAAAAACAUUCAUUA